Molecule: ribosomal RNA, 253 nt
Filed under: uncultured bacterium
Lineage: Bacteria
Description: partial 16S ribosomal RNA
Rfam family: Bacterial small subunit ribosomal RNA
Source: RNAcentral
UACGAAGGGGGCUAGCGUUGUUCGGAAUUACUGGGCGUAAAGCGCACGUAGGCGGAUAUUUAAGUCAGGGGUGAAAUCUCAGAGCUCAACUCUGGAACUGCCUUUGAUACUGGGUAUCUUGAGUAUGGAAGAGGUGAGUGGAAUUCCGAGUGUAGAGGUGAAAUUCGUAGAUAUUCGGAGGAACACCAGUGGCGAAGGCGCCUCACUGGUCCAUUACUGACGCUGAGGUGCGAAAGCGUGGGGAGCAAACAGG